This 261-nucleotide ribosomal RNA is filed under the name uncultured archaeon. RNAcentral describes it as "partial 16S ribosomal RNA". It matches the Rfam family "Archaeal small subunit ribosomal RNA", at positions 748 to 1008 of the family's 1478-position model. The record is from RNAcentral.
CAGCCCUAAACGAUGCGCGUUAGGUGUAUCGGUGACCACGAGUCACCGAGGUGCCGAAGGGAAACCGUGAAACGUGCCGCCUGGGAAGUACGGUCGCAAGGCUGAAACUUAAAGGAAUUGGCGGGGGAGCACAACAACGGGUGGAGCUUGCGGUUUAAUUGGAUUCAACGCCGGAAAUCUUACCGGGACCGACAGCAACAUGAAGGCCAAGCUGAAGACUUUGCCGGAUUAGCUGAGAGGAGGUGCAUGGCGUCAGUGACU